AGCGAACGCUGGCGGCAGGCUUAACACAUGCAAGUCGAGCGGGCCCUUCGGGGUCAGCGGCAGACGGGUGAGUAACACGUGGGAACGUACCCUUCGGUUCGGAAUAACUCAGGGAAACUUGAGCUAAUACCGGAUACGCCCUUUGGGGGAAAGGUUUACUGCCGAAGGAUCGGCCCGCGUCUGAUUAGCUAGUUGGUGGGGUAAUGGCCCACCAAGGCGACGAUCAGUAGCUGGUCUGAGAGGAUGANCAGCCACACUGGGACUGAGACACGGCCCAGACUCCUACGGGAGGCAGCAGUGGGGAAUAUUGCACAAUGGGCGGAAGCCUGAUGCAGCGACGCCGCGUGA
This 348-nucleotide ribosomal RNA is filed under the name uncultured bacterium. Its description in RNAcentral is "bacterial SSU rRNA". It matches the Rfam family "Bacterial small subunit ribosomal RNA", at positions 29 to 404 of the family's 1533-position model. The record is from RNAcentral.